Molecule: ribosomal RNA, 447 nt
Filed under: Contracaecum eudyptulae
Lineage: Eukaryota; Metazoa; Nematoda; Chromadorea; Rhabditida; Anisakidae
Description: partial large subunit ribosomal RNA
Source: RNAcentral
AGAGAGAGUUCAAGAGGGCGUGAAACCGCUGAGAUGGAAACGGAUAGAGUUGACGGAGCUCUGCUGCAUUCAACCGAUCGGCCCAGCGGUCCAAUGGUUUUGACUUCCUCGAUGAGGGCAAUGCCGUUGAUAGCCGUUGGGUGCUUGAUCGGUGUAUUUGCGGCUGGUAUGCGCUGAGGGCUUUGUGGGCGCGUCUCGACGGGUGUGGAGUGGACCAUACCUUCUCGGUGUGGAACCCUUCGCGCUCUUAGGCAUGUCGCCCGUAAAGUUUCGGAAGUGCCGUCUCCGCUAUGGUGCAUCGGCUUUGUCGAGCUGCUGUCGCUUCAGGUUGGUCGCAUGCGACCGCCGGUUGUCGUCAAUGGCGUGAUGAGGUGCAGAUGCGCUGAGGCGUGCACCUCGGUGUGAACGUUGACCACCUAUCCGACCCGUCUUGAAACACGGACCAAG